UAAAGAUGUUUAAGUUGUUUCUACUCUUUUGCUGUUACAGGACCAAAAAAAAAUAUGCUGCAAUGAAUGUUCUUGUCUAAAAUCCUUGUCUGCAAUUCCGAAGCCCGAACAGCUUUAAAAAAUGCAAGUCUCUUCAAAUUUUUGGCACACUCAUUUGGCAGCUAAACUAUAGCUUGAACCAAUGUAAACUCAUUUAUGAAUCACUAACAACAACAACAACAACAAAUGUGGUUCUUAAACAUCAAGAGUCUCUGGGGCUUUUCUUUCCCACUACAAACCCUCUACAAAGCUUCCCAGAAUUCCUGUCCUUGAAGCAGGAGUCAAACUGGAUAGCAAGGAAUAAGCCCCAGGAAGACUGAGAUGGGCCCUCUCUAAUCCAGUAUUCUACCGUCCAUCAUCAACAGACCCUUGUCUGUAUUUCAUAGCGAUAAAAAACAUGAUUUAUCAGAUAAUGGAAAGAACUCAGAUUUUCAGGUGCCAGGUAAGAAACAUGCAUUUUGGGGGGUAGGGGAGGUGGGGUGGAGUUUCAUUACUAGGAAUAGAGCUCACUCUGCACUCAAGUUGUUCUUACUACUUUUUCUUUUCCACAAGAAGGAAUCGUACCGCACAAAGUGAUUUUGAAGGUGGCAGUAACAGCAGAGAGAACCUCCGUAAAUUCUGGCUUGGUACUCCCAACACCAUUCCACAGUAAGAGAGUGAAACCAAGGAGCGCCUGGGCGGCUCAGGCAGUUAAACGUCCGAUUCUUGAUUUCAGCUCAGGUCAUGAUCUCGCACCUGGUGGGAUCGCCCCAUGUCAGGCUCCUUGCUGACAGCAUGAAGCCCGCUUGGGAUUCUCUCUCCCUCUCUCUGCCACUCCCCCACUCACGCUCUUUCACUCUCUCUCAAAAUAAAUAAAAAACAUUUAAAAAAU
Molecule: long non-coding RNA, 910 nt
Organism: Panthera uncia (snow leopard)
Lineage: Eukaryota; Metazoa; Chordata; Mammalia; Carnivora; Felidae
Exons: 2
Source: RefSeq, a predicted model, not a curated record